This is a non-coding RNA of Salmo salar (Atlantic salmon), 461 nucleotides long. NCBI's taxonomy places the organism in Eukaryota, Metazoa, Chordata, Actinopteri, Salmoniformes, Salmonidae. The record is from RefSeq and is a predicted model, not a curated record.
AAUGAACCAAGUGUCCACUGCUAUGCUGGUUGCUUGGCUCUAUUUUACCUUGUAGUGGUCGCGAAGGAAGGAGGAUCCGGGCAGUUCUAGUUCUAUUUCACUGCAUAAACGCUCGCUCAGUCCGAACAAAAUUAUUAGCUCAGAAUAGUUCUCCAAGGAUGGUGUUUUUGACGGUGACAACCUGCUGCUUCAGAGGACCGAAACGUCUGGAAAGAAAACACUUUGUUUACCAUGCAAAGUACUAUGAAGACAGCACUGAUCUCGACAAGAGGCGCAACAUGCAGAGAAAUUCACAAUUCAGGGUAAUCAUAUCUACCUACCUACGGGGGAAGGAUGGCCAGCCACACGGGAGGGUGAUUUUUACUAAGGAGGAGAAGGAGGCCACUCUGACCGUGCUGACCGAGAUGCGUGGUGGCAUUUCAGAGUGAAACGCAUGAUUGCCAAAAUCAACCUAUGCUUCU